This 320-nucleotide ribosomal RNA is filed under the name uncultured eukaryote. Its description in RNAcentral is "partial 18S ribosomal RNA". It matches the Rfam family "Eukaryotic small subunit ribosomal RNA", at positions 1470 to 1796 of the family's 1831-position model. The record is from RNAcentral.
CCCCUAGAUGUUCUGGGCCGCACGCGCGCUACACUGAACAGUUCAACAAGUCUUAACCUUGGCCGAUAGGUCUGGGUAAUCUUUGAACGCUGUUCGUGAUUGGGAUAGACCUUUGCAAUUAUGGGUCUUCAACGAGGAAUUCCUAGUAAACGCAAGUCAUCAGCUUGCAUUGAUUACGUCCCUGCCCUUUGUACACACCGCCCGUCGCACCUACCGAUUGAAUGGUCCGGUGAAAUCUCGGGACGGCGGCUUGGUCGCUUGCGUCCGACUGCUGAAACUUGAUUAAACCAUAUCAUUUAGAGCAAGGUGAAGUCGUANCA